AGUUGGAGCACCAAAAUUUACUCUAGCUGCUAAUUUUAAGAAGAAACUAUCCUCAUAAUCUGUUGCAUACAUAGAAAGGUUCAGAGGCCGAAGCUCGACAGUGGAAAUGAAGGGAGAACCAGUUGUAGCACAGCAGAUGCACACAUCAAUAGAACUCGAGGGAGCCCUGAUGAUCAUUUCCUCAACAUAAAUUCUUGAAGCAUCCAAAAUUGUCACAGUAGACCACUUAGUUGCAUCCAAAUAGAGUUCAAAUUUG
RNAcentral lists this unclassified non-coding RNA (256 nucleotides) under Hevea brasiliensis (rubber tree). The record is from RNAcentral. Lineage: Eukaryota; Viridiplantae; Streptophyta; Magnoliopsida; Malpighiales; Euphorbiaceae.